AUGAAAAAUCUCAUAAAUAAUAUUUUAGGGAGACCAAAUAGAAAGAUGGACAGAGACCUCAAUGAAGGGAAACUCCUAAGGAGAGCCUCGCUCUCAGAACAGAUAAGUCUCAGAGACAUCAUGAGAGAACUCCAGAAGAUGCAGGAAACGCAGAGUAUGUACCAAAAAAUUUCGCAAGAGCAACUCCUGGAUUUUAAGAAUGAUAUGCAACAAGAGUUAGGUACAAUGAAAAGGGAAAUUCACAACAUCCAACAAGAGAUCAAAGAGUUGAGACAAGAAAAAGCAGAGCUGAGAACCGAAUGGAAGAGCAACUUAGAACAAACAGAGUUAAAGGUUGAAAGCAUAAAAGUCAAGAACGAUCAGUUAGAACAAAGGCAAGACAGAAUGGAAACAAAGGAAUUAGAAUUCCAGCUCAGAUUCCGGAAUAUCAUAGAAGAAAGAAACGAAGAUAUAAGACAAAUAACUUCAGAAAUAAUUGCCCAGAUAUUAGAAUGCACACAACAAGAGGCAGAAGAUGGCCUAGAUAGAAUGUACAGAAUAAAUACAAGAUAUGCGAGAAGAUUCAAUGUACCGAGAGACACCAUUGUAAGAUUUGUGAAGAUGACUACAAGAGAUGAAAUACUGAGAAGAAGUUACGAGAAACCAAUCAUUUACAAAGAAAGAAAAAUAGCGAUUCUAAAGGAACUUCCUUAUGCAGUGCUAGAAAAAAGGAAAAAAUACGCAAACUUAACAAAGGAACUAAGGAGAGGUCAAAUCAGAUAUAGGUGGGAAAAAGUGGAAGGGUUAACAAUCUUCUACAAAGAGCAAAGAUGGUCAAUUAACACAGAAGAAAAAGCAAACGAAUUUCUAAGAAGACUAAUCCAAGACGGGAAAAAAGGGAAAGAUCCGGAUAUAGGCCACACGGAAAAGAAAAAAAGAGCCCGAACGGAAUCUCCGGAAAAGACAAAUUCCGAACCUGAAAUGGAGCUGGAACAAUUACCAACAGGAAAAGAAGCACUAACCAAAAAUAUUCCAGAGAAGAAAGACUGCGUCGACCACUAA
Molecule: long non-coding RNA, 1041 nt
Filed under: Anolis carolinensis (green anole)
Lineage: Eukaryota; Metazoa; Chordata; Lepidosauria; Squamata; Anolidae
Description: lncRNA (ENSACAG00000039352.1)
Source: RNAcentral